GGGGAAUUGUUCACAAUGGGCGCAAGCCUGAUGACGCAACGCCGCGUGGAGGAUGAAGGUCUUCGGAUUGUAAACUCCUGUUGCCAGGGCCGAAUGGCUCCGGCCUAAUACGUCGGAGAAUGACGGUACCUGGUGAGGAAGCCCCGGCUAACGCUGUGCCCGCAGCCGCGGUAAUACAGGGGGGGCAAGCGUUGUUCGGAAUUACUGGGCGUAAAGGGCGCGUAGGCGGCCUCUUAAGUCGAACGUGAAAUCCCCGGGCUCAACCCGGGAACUGCGUCCGAUACUGGGAGGCUUGAAUCCGGGAGAGGGAUGUGGAAUUCCAGGUGUAGCGGUGAAAUGCGUAGAUAUCUGGAGGAACACCGGUGGCGAAGGCGGCAUCCUGGACCAACACUGACGCUGAGGAGCGAAAGCCAGGGGAGCAAAC
RNAcentral lists this ribosomal RNA (424 nucleotides) under uncultured bacterium. Its description in RNAcentral is "bacterial SSU rRNA". It matches the Rfam family "Bacterial small subunit ribosomal RNA", at positions 356 to 773 of the family's 1533-position model. The record is from RNAcentral.